This 406-nucleotide ribosomal RNA is filed under the name uncultured bacterium. RNAcentral's name for it is "partial 16S ribosomal RNA". It matches the Rfam family "Bacterial small subunit ribosomal RNA", at positions 30 to 526 of the family's 1533-position model. The record is from RNAcentral.
AUUGAACGCUGGCGGCAUGCUUUACACAUGCAAGUCGGACGAGUGGCGAACGGGUGAGUAAUAUAUUGGAACGUACCGAGUAAUGGGGGAUAACCAAUCGAAAGAUUGGCUAAUACCGCAUACUAUUCGAGCGGCCAAUAUCUGAUUAGCUAGUUGGUGGGGUAAAGGCCUACCAAGGCGACGCUAAGUAGCUGGUCUGAGAGGAUGAUCCGCCAACCGGGGACUUAGACACGGCCCAGACUCCCACGGGAGGCAGCAGUGGGGAAUUUUGGACAAGGGGCGCAAGCCUGAUUCAGCCAGGCCGCGGUUAUGAAGAAGGCCUUCGGGUUGGAAAGGACUUUUGUUAGGGAAGCGUUACCUAAAGAAGAAGCACCGGCUAACUCCGUGCCAGCAGCCGCGGUAAUUC